Molecule: ribosomal RNA, 458 nt
Filed under: uncultured bacterium
Lineage: Bacteria
Description: partial 16S ribosomal RNA
Rfam family: Bacterial small subunit ribosomal RNA
Source: RNAcentral
CCUACGGGGGCAGCAGUGAGGAAUAUUUGUCCAUGGGCGCGAGCCUGAACCAGCCAAGUAGCGUGAAGGAUGACUGCCCUACGGGUUGUAAACUUCUUUUUUAAAGGAAUAAAGUGAGGCACGUGUGCCCUUUUGUAUGUACUUUAUGAAUAAGGAUCGGCUAACUCCGUGCCAGCAGCCGCGGUAAUACGGGGGAUCCGAGGGUUAUCCGGUUUUAUUGGGUUUAAAGGGAGCGUAGAUGGGUUGUUAAGUUAGUUGUUAAAGUUUCCGGGUAAACCCCGGCGAGCCGGUGAAACUGGCGGGCUGGAGUGGGGGAGAGGUACGCGGAAUGCGCGGUGUAGCGGUGAAAUGCUUAGAUAUCGCGCAGAACCCCGAUUGCGAAGGCAGCGUACCGGCGCCACACUGACGCUGAGGCACGAAAGCGUGGGUAUCGAACAGGAUUAGAUACCCGUGUAGUC